This 5300-nucleotide long non-coding RNA is filed under the name Solanum tuberosum (potato). RNAcentral's name for it is "long non-coding RNA (STUB_LNC004567)". Lineage: Eukaryota; Viridiplantae; Streptophyta; Magnoliopsida; Solanales; Solanaceae. The record is from RNAcentral.
UGAGUUAUGGCCUUUUAAAGUUGAGCAGUUGGCAGGGAAUCCGUCCGGAAAUUUUAAGGGCAUUUUGGUCUUUUCUCUAGUUUUUCUUUUGGGGUUAUAUUGUGUGUUAGGCUGAUUUUGGAUCAUUUUUAUCCCAUUUUAAAAGAGAAAGAGUUAGGGUUCUUGAGAGUGAAGAAGAGAAGAAGAAGAGAAGAAGAGGAGAAGAAGAGGAAAAAGAGGAGAUCAACAAGUUUCCGUCGUGGAUUUUCGUCGGGGUGAUCCCUAUCAAGGUAUGUGAGUUCCUUGUGUGGGUUGAUCCUUUCCCCCACACACCAAGCUCAUUUUUAUGAUUUGAGAAAGGAUUGGAUUUGUUGUUGAAGUUGUUGGAAUUGUUGAAGUUGUUAGUUGUUAUUGUUGAAAUUAUUGUUGGUGUUGUUGUUGAUUAUGAUGUUGAGAUUCUUGUUGAUUCGGGACUUGUUUCCGGUUGUGUUUUGAGUUGUAAUCCAUGGUAUGUUGAGGGAUAUGAUGAUCCUUAGUGGUUUGGGUUGAAACCCUUGAACUAAGGGUGGUUUAGAGUUGGCAAAACAAGGGAGAAAAGUUGAGUUUCUGGGCAAGGAGGUUGGCGCGUCGCGCCUGCCAGCGCGCCCCAAGAGGGGUUCUGAACUUUACCUCUUGGGGCGGCCCGCCACUCAGAGCACCAGCAAGUGCCUUCUGAGCUUCGAGGGCUCGUGCUCCGCCCCUUGCAGAGCGCCAAGGACGCUAUGUUCUCCCUUUCUUUCCACACUUUCUCAUGCAUGUUCCUAGGUAUUAUACCUAUGUUUCCAAGUUGUUUCCAACACUUCAAGUUGCGUUUAAAUGUCAAGAACUCAUCUAUAACAUGUGAUUAUAUACCUUGAAUCCAUAAUCCAAUUUAAGGCGAGUGAGUAUCAAGUUAAAGAGAAGUUAGAGUCAAGUCAAGUAAGGUUAAGAAGUAAGCUCAAGCAGAAAGUGAGCUGGAAUAGGAUGCUCUGGCAGCGUGAGGUCCAUCGCUGUAUCACCACUUAGGUUCAUAGUGGUGGUUGUCGGUUAGAGAAACUCCCACAGCAGAAAGUGCAUGGUUCCUCAAAGAGUCUUGCUUAGUAUGAAUGGGGGUAUGGGACUUCAUUCAUGCAUUGCGUGCGUACACUUUGAGAGGAAGCACGCUAUAUUUUUUAUGAUAUAAUGACUAUGAUGUUGACGUUCAUGUUUUAAGAGUUUUACAAGUUUUAUAUAUAUUGCAUGUGUCUCAUUGCUUUAUAUUGAGUCCAGUUAUUCAUGAGUUGAACAGAGCCAAGGUAAGUUCUCUUUUGUAUCCCUUUCAAGCUUAAGUUGUUGUUUAGCGGUCCAGCUCGUAUACUCGUACAUUCCAUGUACUGAUGCCAGUUGGCCUGCAUCGUUUUAUGAUGCAGAUGCAGGUACCCAGGAUUAGCAUCCAGCACGCCAUUGAUCCAGUUGAGCACUCCAGAGUCAGUGGUGAGCCUCCUUGCUUCCUGAGGGCUCAGUUAUUUUGUUCUCUCAUUUUUGUUUUAUUAGGGUGUUGCGGGGUCUAUCUUAACAUCAAUCUAAGUAUUUUAGAGGCUUCAUAGAUAGUCAGUCAGUUAGUUUUGAGUCUCUCAUCUAUGUAUAUAUGUAAAUAUUUUAUUUUGAGACUCGAGUUGCCUUUUUGGCCAGAUGUGUAUCAUUUAAGUUGUUUAUGUCUUUGCAUGGCAUUGAGUUAUUCUGUUGAGUAGGUUUUCGCUGAGUUAAUAAAGCCAAGCCAAGGGUUCGCUUGGGGCCAACAAUGGUCUCCGAGUGCCGGUCCCGCCCAGGGUGUAGGCUCAGGGCGUGACAAACUUGGUAUCAGAGCUCAGAGUUCAAGAGUCCUAGGGAGUCUAUGAAGCCGUGUCUGUAGAGCCCUAGUUAUCGGUGUGAAGCGCGCCACAUCUAUAGUUUAGGAGGCUGCAACAUUUAGGAAGAUUUCUCACUUCUUUCGCACUCAUAUCGUGCGUUAGAGCUUAUCUCUAAAAAGUUUCCUUCUAAUUCGUGUUUGCGCAUGUUUUCAGAGGAUUAUGCCUCCACGAAGAGCAGUCAGAGUUAGUCCAGCUAUAAAGAGUGUUGAGGAACAAGAGUUACCGAAUGCCCUAAAAGUUCAAACCGAAGAAGAGAUCAAAUAUGUUGAUUUUCGUGAAGCUAUCCGGAUGUGAAGUCAAGUUUCGACCUAUCAUGUUGGGCAGAGAGAUAAUCAACAUGAAAUGGUUGAUACUUCAAGAAUCUGUGAACUCUUAAGGAUGAACCCACCAAGCUUCACAGGUUCAAGUGUGACUGAGAAUCCAGAGAACUUUAUUGAGUAGCUAAAAAGGGUAUUUGAUGUGAUACAUGUUGCUGAGUCGGAGAGGGUGGAACUAGCUGCAUACCAAUUGAAGGGUGUUGCUAGAAUUUGGUUCGACCAAUGGAAAAAGAAUAGGGCUGAGGAUGAGCCAGUAGUGAGUUGGGUUGUGUUUGAGAGUGCUCUCAUGGGGCGUUUCUUUCCUCGUGAGUUGCGAGAGGCAAAUAUAAAAGAGUUUCUCACCCUUAAUUCGGAGUCUAUGAGUGUUCAUGAGUACAGUCAGAAGUUCACACAACUUUCCCGCUAUGCUCCAGAGAUAGUUGCUGACAUGAGGAGCAGGAUGAGUUUAUAUGUUGCUGGGUUGUCUCGUUAGUCAAGCAAGGAAGGCAAGGCAGCUAUGCUGAUAGGGGAUAUUGACCUAGCAAGAUUUAUGAUUCAUUUACAACAAGUUGAAGAGGAUAAGUUGAAGGAUAGAGAAUAGUUUAAUAAUAAGAGGGCUAAGAUAGUAGGGGAAGGGUUCAAGCAUCAAAAAAAUGAUGCUAAUCAGUCAUCCCUCUCACAGAAACAGAAGGGACCUGCUCCACCAUCUACUAGUGCAUCUGCACCUAAGAACAAAGAUGAGUAUAAUAGAGAUUCCUAUAGUUUCAGGGCUAGACUUGCCUAUCCUCAAGGCAGUAUGGUGCCAAGGGGUAGUAAGGCUCCUGCAUGUGCUUUGUGUGGUAGAACCCACCCAGGUAAGUGUCGCGAUGGCCAAACAGGUUGUUUUAAGUGUGGACAAAAGGGUCACUUCUUGAAAGAGUGCCCAAAGAACAGGCAAGGUAAUGGACAUGUGAGCAAUAGGGCCCAAGCGUCAUCAGUUGCUCCCCCAGACAGGAUGGUACCUAGAGGAGCUACUUCUAGUACUGGCGGAGGAGCAAACCACCUCUAUGCAAUCAAUAGUCCCCAAGAGCAAGAGGAUUCGCCGGAUGUUGCCUCUGGUAUGAUUCGAGUCUUUGACUUUACUGUAUAUGAUUUACUAGACCCAGGAGCAAGUUUAUCUUUUGUAAUUCCUUAGGUUGCUAUGAACUUUGAUGUUAUACCUGAGCAAUCUAGUGAGCCAGUCAUAGAGUGGAGUAGUAGUUCAGCAGUGCCUAAGGGUCAUUUCUUUUCAUACCUCAAGGCGAGAAAGUUAGUUUCGAAGGGUUGUACCUAGCACUUAGUCCGAGUUAAUGACUCUAGUUUUGAGAUACCUCAUUUUCAGUCAGUUCCUAUAGUAAGAGAGUUUCCAGAAGUUUUUCCUGAUGAUCUACCCAGAUUUCCUCCUGAGAGAGAAAUAGAUUUCGGCAUAGACAUCAUUCCAGAUAUUUGUCCUAUCUAUUUUUUUUUUCGCCUUAUGGAAUGGCACUAGUAGAGUUGAAAGAGUUGAAAGAGCAGUAAAAGGGAUCGGUUAGAUAAGGGUUUUAAUAGACCAAGUUGACUCGGAAGAACCACGAAUUUUCAACGGUCUAAAGCUUGUGAGGAAGACUUUCAAGAAUUGAAAGAGAAGUUGAGUACCGCCCAGUUAUGAUAUUUGGUUCUUGAGUACAUACUGAGUAUCUGAAUCUAAAAUGGAUUUGAGAUCAAUAGUCGAGUUUAGGCAAAUCGGGGUGUAAUGUGAUGAGCUAGAGUUGGUUGUUGUAGUUUUGCUUCGAAGAUAUGGCGUCAUUGUUGUAUGAUGUUCAUGUGGGUGUGUUCACUUAAAAUGAGCUUAGUCUCAGACAGAGAGAGUGGUUAAGGUACUCAAGGAGGAUGACGUGAGUUUUCUUUAUCACCCUAGUAAGGUUAAUGUUGUUACAGAUUCUUUAAGCAAAGUUGUCUAUGGGUAGCACCGCCCAUAUUGGAGAAGGAAAAGGAGAGUUAGCAAAAUAUGUGCACAGACUGGCACACCUGAGAGUUAGACUUUUAGAUUCUGUAAAAGGAGGAAUGGAAGUAGCGAGCGAGGCUGAGUCAUCAUUAGUGUCAGAAGUAGAAGGUGAAAAAGACUCGGACCAUGUUCAUAAGCAGUGAUGGCUUUUGAACAAGGGGAGAUGGUGUUUUGAGGUAUCAAGGUGGAUUGUGGAAUUGAUUCCAAGGAUAAUUGAGAUGAUUACCUAUCAUGCAUGGAGUCGCUUACAAUGAUAGUUACCAUUCUAGCACCCAUAUGGCUCGUUAUGAAGCUUUUUAUGGGAGAAGAUGUAGAUCUCUUGUUGAGAUGGUUUGAAGUUAGUAAAGCAGGGUUGAUAGAUCCAGAGUUAGUUCAUCAAGCUAUGGAGAAGGUAAAAGUGAUUCAAGAAAGGUUGAAAACGGCACAGAGUCGUCAAGAGUCCCACACUGAUGUUAGGAGAAAGGCGUUAUAGUUCGAAGUAAAGGAUUGGGUAUAUUUGGAAGGUUUACCCAUGAAGUGAGUUAUGAGGAGAUUCCUGUUCAGAUUUUAGACUGCCAAGUUCGCAAGUUGAGAAUGAAGGAUGUGGCAUCAGUCAAGGUCCUUUGGAGAACCAAUUUGUUGAAGAAGAGAUAUCCAUAUCUCUUCGAAUCCAGACGAAAAGUAGAUCAAGGUACUAAUUUCCUUCUUAGUGUUCUAUAAGUUAUAGUGAGCAUGUUGUUGUUGUUUGCAUGGUUGCUUGUUAGGUGUUUGAGUUGAUGUUACACCUUAGCUAGUAAGAGUAAUCUCAUUCGAAGCUUGUGGAAUGAUCUUUCCAACGCCACCGAGUUUGCUCAAUUCCGAGUUCGUAGGAGUGAGUUAUGGCCUUUGAAAGUUGGGCAGUUGGCAGGGAAUCCGUCCGGAAAUUUUAAGGGCAUUUUGGUCUUUUCCCUAGUUUUCUUUUGGGGUUAUAUUGCGUGUUAGGCUGAUUUUGGAUCAUUUUUAUCCCAUUUUAAAAGAGAAAGAGUUAGGGUUCUUGAGAAUGAAGAAGAGAAGAAGAAGAGAAGAAGAGGAGAAGAAGAGGAGAAAGAGGAGAUCAACAAGUUUCCGUCGUGGAUUUUCGUCGGGGGUGAUCCCUAU